This 253-nucleotide ribosomal RNA is filed under the name uncultured bacterium. Its description in RNAcentral is "partial 16S ribosomal RNA". It matches the Rfam family "Bacterial small subunit ribosomal RNA", at positions 524 to 776 of the family's 1533-position model. The record is from RNAcentral.
UACGGAGGGUGCAAGCGUUGCUCGGAAUUAUUGGGCGUAAAGGGUAGGUAGGUGGUCUCAUUUGUCUGGGGUGAAAGCCUUGAGCUUAACUCAAGAAGUGCCCCAGAAACGGUGAGACUGGAGUCCUGGAGAGGGUCGUGGAAUUCCCGGUGUAGCGGUGAAAUGCGCAGAUAUCGGGAGGAACACCUAUGGCGAAGGCAGCUCGCUGGGACGUUACUGACGCUGAGACGCGAAAGCGUGGGGAGCAAACAGG